GCUGCUGCGCUGCGGGGAGGCGGUGGGCUCCCACCCCGGGACCCCCCCACCCAGCAGCGACCCCCGCCCAGGGGGCAACAGGAGCCGCUGUCGCCGAAGCCCAGGUACAAGGCUGAGUGCUGUAGGGAGAGUGUGUGUGAAGAGAAAAGCAAGGCUGCAACAGCCCGCUGAAGUGUGCUCAAGGUCAGCCCCUCUUACAGAAGACCAAGAGGUCACGUUUGACUUAGAAGGAACCACGAAGAUAAGUUUCAUGAGCGACAUAACUGGAGCCAUUAGCAAGCUCAUCCAAGAGUAAUCAUCCAUCAAAGGCACUCAGCCCAGGGGUGCGUUUGCCACCCGUCGGCAAUGGAUGAAAGCGGGCAGUGGCUCUACCAGCAUCAGUAUGCAGGAGGUCACUUUCUCCACAGCCAGUGCUGUUCCAGCAGAUCGCUAGUUGAGAAGCGAAUCAAACUGAUGUGAAACAUGGAGUACCUCUCACAUGGUCAUUGAGAGGAAGACUUGCUGGACAGUCUCCACAAAACCUCAACACUGGUUUGGAUUGGUAUUUCCUUCCGAGUGCGUCAGCACUGCCAACACGACAAAAGACAACUAGGAGUAAGGGCUACAGCUGCUCCUCUAACAUUGCUGGGACAGCCUCCAGAAUAAAUUUCCAGCUCCUACUAACUCCUACUGGAUGUAUCUUCUGCGCCAAGGUCUCUGGAAAGGACCUGAACUGGAGGAGGUUUGGCACUUCAUCUGUGCUGUGUAGAAUCCAGCAAUAAGUUAUUCCGAUAGGAAGGUUUAAUACAGUUAAUAGAGCAUAUAAAACUGUCUACUGUGUUUCAUCAUAUUUAAUUUGCUGCAGCAAACUGCAGCCACCCAAUGCCGUUUCAGCCUCCCUUUUACAACCCUGCGGUGAUGCUCUCCCGGCUGAGGAGUUCCUGUGUCACCAGUGCUUCUGCGUUGACAGAGCAGUGCAAUGCCUCCAGAGCAUUCAGCUGCUUCUCGCCCUCCAGUGUGGUCCCAAGUGAAGCAGCUCCCUCACCACUGUGGGGAGAGCCACGAGGGACCCCGUGGCCUGGCCAUCCCCACAAAGAGUGGGCAAGCAGGAGGGCAACGCCAGCCUCCGGCCACCCGUAGCUAUGGUCUCUUCUGGGGCAUGAGCUUUGGGAGUGCUCGGGCUGUGCAGAAGGUUGGCGCACCUCUCCAGGGAUUUCUCCAGACGCAUCCUCCUGUCAUGUUUUGUGGUUUGUGAGGGAUAUGAUUCACUACCCCAGCAGCCUACUGUGCAGCCUGUGCCCCGUGAUAGUGCUUAACGAGCGAGCAGUGACUCACCGGUCCCCCCCAGCCCACAGGAUGGUGGGACUUCACUUCUCGCAGGGGCUGGGGCAUCACAGGGUCCAGUCUGUGCCUCCCAGCCUUUGGUCAGAUGGGCUUAUGUGCCACAGCAUGUGGCACGUGGCUGUGGCAAAACAGGGAUGUUGGGAUGAAGGGAACAGACCUACCUUAAGCUUAUUUAAGAAAAGCCAAUGUUAUGUUAGCUGCCUGCCCAGAUGAGGUGUGGUACUGAUGCUACUGUCAUUAAAUUAAAGUUGUUCAAUUUUUUCUAAAAAACUUUCCUAGGUAGACAAGGAUUUCCUUUUUAAACUAGGAUAGGUUGAGAUGACUGGGUCACUCAUGUAUUUUCUUGUAAUGUAUGCAACAGUGGCUGUAAUCAUAGAGUUAUGCAUCACGUAGGUUAGACCUCUAGAGGUCAUCUAGUCCAACCUCCUUCUCCAAGUGUAAAAUACAGGUUAGUCACCUGCAAGCACCAGUCUGGAGUAUGAGCAGGGAGAAGUGGGCUUACCAGCAGAAAUGUCUGGGCACUGCUGCCCCAAAUACUACCUCAGCUGCCCCUGUCUCUCCAGUCCUUCAUGUAGCCUGUGUGGCCUCAGCCCAGCACAGUCUCCCUUGCACUUGCAUGGCAUCAAGCAGCUCCCUGAGUGUCUACCACCAUCUCUGAUGUCCCACCUCAGCUCCACAAGAAGAAGGUGCUGGGUUACAAUAAUGCCAGACAUGAGCACACUUUGGUCUAAGGGUACAGAUGAGGGAAACAGGAGUACAUAUAGCUAGGGAUAUUACCGCUAAUGUGUGCAAGUCUAGCACUAUUGGUGCCCAUCAGAGAGACAAAAAAUCUCGUAUAAAGUAUUUCCAAAGAACUUUUACAGUGUCCCAGCCCAGUGAUCAGUACAGUGGUAUGGAAAGCAUCUUGUAGCACAUUUAUUUGCAUGAUGGCUGCUCUCACCUGGGCCAGGUUAAAAGGAUCAUAUCCCAACAGUAGGUAAAUGAGAGCUCUGCUCACCAAAACAUGCCUCAUAGCUACUCAGCUGGAAAGCAGGGAUCCUACUCAUGCCUUUCAAUCAAUAUAAAGUAUGCUGCUGGACCUCUUGUAGCUGCUUUUUCACUUCAAUUAAUUGAUGACCAUAAUUAAUAUAUGAAAUACUUUAAAACACUUGUUUUGCGUAAGCUGUGACCUUCAGUCAUUGUCAUGAGAGCAUGUCCUGUAGCUAGCCUUAGAUGACAGGCAUAAUUUGUAACUAUUUGUUGUCCAUUCUGUGACCUAACCACGAAAGGGGACAGA
Molecule: long non-coding RNA, 2599 nt
Organism: Harpia harpyja (harpy eagle)
Lineage: Eukaryota; Metazoa; Chordata; Aves; Accipitriformes; Accipitridae
Exons: 4
Source: RefSeq, a predicted model, not a curated record